This is a long non-coding RNA of Sapajus apella (tufted capuchin), 1583 nucleotides long. RefSeq lists it as uncharacterized. The transcript is spliced from 4 exons. Lineage: Eukaryota; Metazoa; Chordata; Mammalia; Primates; Cebidae. The record is from RefSeq and is a predicted model, not a curated record.
ACCUCAAGUGAUCUGCCUGCCUCAGUCUCUCAAAGUGCUGGGAUUAAAGGCAUGAGCCACUGCGCCCAGCACCCCAGCUAUUUCUGAGGUCCUCAAACAAAACCUCCCCUGGCCAAGUCAUACCCAACACGGGCCUCCUCCCCUGUUCUGCCCCCGCUCAGAGAUGCCGAGUGACAGAGGCUCAGGCUUUGCAUGUUCCUGUCAAAGCCUCACCCCAGGAGGCCCCGCAGCUCAGGCCAGUCCUUGGUUCACAUGGCCCCACUUCCGGCCUCUUUUUCCCCUAAGAGUGAUUUGUCCCUGGGAGAUCCUGGGUCUCUCAUUCAGGUGCAAUGUUGCAGAGCAACGCUUCUUCCCAGGCUGACCCAGGCCUGCAGGGUCCCACUGUCACUGGCAGGCUUUGCCCCAGCUUCCACCCAAGCCCCGCUCCUCCUCUCCCACAGGGAACGAGACACCCUCUUCUCUUUCUCGGGAUACCCCCACCUGCAGAGGGACCAGCCCAUUUGCUGGAGCCACUGAAUUCUGAGUUAAGUUCCUGUUCUGGGCUUCGCUGUGCAUGACCCAUCUCAGCAGGAUGGCCAAGGACCUCAUCCUCUACGGCACCAAGGAAUUCAGCUUCGUGCAGCUCUCAGAUGCCUAUAGCACCGGAAGCAGCCUGAUACUCCAGAAGAAAAACCACCGUGGGGCAUAUGUUUGGGCGGAUUUGGAUGUCUCGAUUCAGAAGACUUUGGCCUGUAAUCCCCUCUCAUGGGCUGUCUCAUACUGCACUUGGUAUCAAGAUUCUCCCCAUUUGAUGACAGCAGGGUUGUCGUGUUCCUUCCUAUGGAAAAGUGUGCAUAAAAUUGGCACGGGAAACAGAACAUAGAGGGAAAUAUUUAAGGCAAAAAUCUUGAUAGAAAAAUCGAGAAUACAAAUGGAGUCAUAAAGCUCUAAAAUGUGUACAUCUGUAUGUAAACUGGAGUUGGGAAAAUAAAAUCAGAAAGACAUUUUAUGCACAAGUGGCCCAUGUGAAGAAACUGCGGUGAGAAGAUGGAAAUGAGCAUACCUUCAAGGCAGGAGCAAAGGCUGCCUCCCGUCUUCACCAGUAGUCUCCUGGCCAGUACAGUGUGAAAUGGCAGUUCAGAGAGCAGCAGCUGGAAUGGAAGGCAAGGCCUACAUCAUGAGAGGAGACAGGGUGCGGAUGUGCAUGGGUCUUUUCUUCACUUGGUGACAUUAGAAAACCAGUUGGGAAAUAGUUGUCAAGGUAAUGGCCCCCAAAUAAAGCCUAGAGGACACUUGUGGAAAGGCACAGAGUUUUGCAUAAGAUUUGCCAAAUAAUUUUGUUGCAAAGUCACAGCUAUAUUCCAGAAGAAUGCAUUUCUCCUGAAAAAAUUGCUCUCUGCCAUGCAGUUUGUCAGUGAAGCUGUCCUCUCUGGUGCCAUCUGGAACAAGUUUCAAGUUGGUAAUGGACACUCACACACCUUUGCCCACCAGGAAAUUCUGUGACUCAUCUAUAAUGUUUAUGGUAAGAUUUGUAUAUCUUAAUUCAAAAGAAAGAAAAAGAAAAAAAUUCCCAUCUCAGACAAAGAAAGAAGACUUACUUAAGA